AUGUAUAUGUUUACAGUGGGUUUUUUUUGCAUUACAAGUAGGACAUCACUUACGCUGAAGUUGCUUGUUUUACUUUUCAGACCAACAAAACUCCCACAGAUGAAAGCUUGUCUCACGAAAUACAAACAAGUUUAUAUGCUCACAGCGAACACAUGUCUUCAUUUGGCGGCCCGGCUACCCCAACAAGAUCAUGCAGCUUGUGGAAACUCGGAGAGUAACCAGUUUUGUAGCACUGCAUAUGGAAAACCAGGCAUGCAAAACUGGAUGCUGGGCUGAAAAUGUGGCGUGUCGGGGAUAAUGAACGAGACAGGAGGCAAUUAACAGUAGAAAAGUGACAAUCUGACAACAUGCUCAAUUAAUGUAAUCAGAUUUCACAUUCACUUCAUGGAUGUAGUAAAUCAAAGCAUAAGUAGGAAUGAUAUGAACUUUUUAAUAUUAAAAACUAUUCCCAUAACAUGCAAAGUCAGGGAAUACCGGUAAAUUUGUCUGUUGCCAAUCAUUAACUGAUUUAGGAUAGACCUUGUUGAGUAAUUAUAUUUAAUAAGAGCUUGUCCAUACAAGCUGCUAUCAGAUGUCAUUUUAUACAGUUUCAAACCAGAUAUAAUGGCUGAGCUGCGCACAUUAACUCUCUGUAAUACUGUACUGUCUUUUUGUGGGAGAGGGGUGGGAAAAUUCAAAACUGAUUAUUGUGUGGCUUCCUUUCAGACAGUUGUAUUUGAUCUAAUUUGAUUUAUUGCUGCACAUUUUGAAUGAGCAGAAAUGUCUUGAGGGGAAACGAGACUUGUUACAGUAAUGUUCGCAUUAAUAUAAUUUCACCUGCUUGCUUGGUGGGCUCCGCAGUUGUCUGUGUUCAUUACUGUUUGGGAGUCUUCUGUGUUAAAAAGCUCCUCUUUAUCUAUUUGCUCUCUCAUAGGGAUGUAAUGAGAUUCCCACACCCUCCACAAGUGGUGAUUGUGUAACUAAUCCAUGCUGGCAUAACAAAGUCUUCACCUAGAUUACUAAUAUUGCUAAACAUAUAUGCAGGACAAAGGCAGAUGUCUAUAUUUUUUUUUUUGAGCAAAGCACAGCUGUAACUCACAGGCAAUUUUUCUAGGUGGUCCUAGAAGACAGACGUGUUGAACCUCAAGGAGGGAGUUUGGAGGUUAGAAGCUCCACUUAAUUUUUAGAGGAGCGUGUAAACAUUUGGGUGCUAAUAUUACUUGCAGGCACAAAACCACAAAUAAUUCUGAUUGCUCAAGGGCUUCUGAGUCCCCAGUGUAACGCAGCCUGCUCUUUA
This 1276-nucleotide long non-coding RNA is filed under the name Anser cygnoides (Swan goose). RNAcentral describes it as "lncRNA (ENSACDG00005017218.1)". Lineage: Eukaryota; Metazoa; Chordata; Aves; Anseriformes; Anatidae. The record is from RNAcentral.